Molecule: ribosomal RNA, 468 nt
Filed under: uncultured bacterium
Lineage: Bacteria
Description: partial 16S ribosomal RNA
Rfam family: Bacterial small subunit ribosomal RNA
Source: RNAcentral
GACGAACGCUGGCGGCGUGCUUAACACAUGCAAGUCGAACGGAAAGGCCCUGCUUUUGUGGGGUGCUCGAGUGGCGAACGGGUGAGUAACACGUGAGUAACCUGCCCUUGACUUUGGGAUAACUUCAGGAAACUGGGGCUAAUACCGGAUAGGAGCUCCUGCUGCAUGGUGGGGGUUGGAAAGUUUCGGCGGUUGGGGAUGGACUCGCGGCUUAUCAGCUUGUUGGUGGGGUAGUGGCUUACCAAGGCUUUGACGGGUAGCCGGCCUGAGAGGGUGGCCGGCCACCAUGGGACUGAGAUACGGCCCAGACUCCUACGGGGGGCAGCAGUGGGGAAUAUUGCCCAAUGGGCGGGAGCCUGAUGCGACGACGCCGCGUGCGGGAUGACGGCCUUCGGGUUGUAAACCGCUUUCGCCUGUGACGAAGCGUGAGUGACGGUAAUGGGUAAAGAAGCACCGGCUAACUACGUG